This 457-nucleotide ribosomal RNA is filed under the name Actinomycetes bacterium. RNAcentral's name for it is "Actinobacteria bacterium partial 23S ribosomal RNA". It matches the Rfam family "Bacterial large subunit ribosomal RNA", at positions 2470 to 2925 of the family's 2925-position model. The record is from RNAcentral. Lineage: Bacteria; Bacillati; Actinomycetota; Actinomycetes.
GGGGAUAACAGGCUUAUCCUUCCCAAGAGUCCACAUCGACGGAAGGGUUUGGCACCUCGAUGUCGGCUCGUCGCAUCCUGGGGCUGGAGCAGGUCCCAAGGGUUGGGCUGUUCGCCCAUUAAAGCGGUACGCGAGCUGGGUUCAGAACGUCGUGAGACAGUUCGGUCCCUAUCCACCAUGGGCGCUGGAGCUUUGAGAGGAGUCGUCUCUAGUACGAGAGGACCGAGACGAACAGACCUCUGGUGUAUCAGUCGUCGUGCCAACGGCGCUGCUGAUUAGCCACGUCUGGAUGGGAUAACCGCUGAAAGCAUCUAAGCGGGAAGCCCACCUCGAGAUGAGAGCUCCCAUCCCCUCGAGGGAGUAAGGGCGGUCGGAGACUACGACCUUGAUAGGCGGCCGGUGUAAUCGCAGCAAUGCGUUCAGCUGAGCCGUACUAAUUGCCCGAGGUCUUGAUUUG